Molecule: ribosomal RNA, 497 nt
Filed under: uncultured bacterium
Lineage: Bacteria
Description: partial 16S ribosomal RNA
Rfam family: Bacterial small subunit ribosomal RNA
Source: RNAcentral
GACGAACGCUGGCGGCGUGCCUAAUACAUGCAAGUCGAGCGGACGAAUCGAAAGCUUGCUUUUGAUUCGUUAGCGGCGGACGGGUGAGUAACACGUGGGCAACCUGCCCUGUAGACGGGGAUAACACCGAGAAAUCGGUGCUAAUACCGGAUAACACGAAAUGUCGCAUGACGUUUCGUUGAAAGACGGCGCAAGCUGUCGCUACAGGAUGGGCCCGCGGCGCAUUAGCUAGUUGGUGAGGUAACGGCCCACCAAGGCGACGAUGCGUAGCCGACCUGAGAGGGUGAUCGGCCACACUGGGACUGAGACACGGCCCAGACUCCUACGGGAGGCAGCAGUAGGGAAUCUUCCGCAAUGGACGAAAGUCUGACGGAGCAACGCCGCGUGAGCGAAGAAGGCCUUCGGGUCGUAAAGCUCUGUUGUUAGGGAAGAACAAGUAACGCAGUAACUGGCGUUACCGUGACGGUACCUAACGAGAAAGCCACGGCUAACUACGU